ACCUGGGUGGCUCAGUUGGUUGAGCAUCCAACUUCGGCUCGGGUCAUCAUCUCAUGGUUUGUGAGUUCGAGUCCCGCUUCGGGCU
Molecule: non-coding RNA, 85 nt
Organism: Felis catus (domestic cat)
Lineage: Eukaryota; Metazoa; Chordata; Mammalia; Carnivora; Felidae
Source: Rfam